CAUGUGCGCUUUGAGCAGCGUGAGGGUCGAAGAUUGGCAGCAACAAGUCGAAGCGGACUGGACCGGAGUCACGUGGAGGAUUCAUCUCAGCACGUGUUCUGCUGGUGUGAUUAGUUAUUAAUAAUGAGAUCUGGGGAAUAUCUUGUUCUUGUGUCUGUUAUGGUGUGAGACUUACAUUUUGUAGUUCUUUUCUGUGAAAUCCAAUAAAUGUGUUUUUUCAACAGUCA
Molecule: long non-coding RNA, 227 nt
Organism: Carassius carassius (crucian carp)
Lineage: Eukaryota; Metazoa; Chordata; Actinopteri; Cypriniformes; Cyprinidae
Exons: 2
Source: RefSeq, a predicted model, not a curated record